UACAUUUUUUUUCUAAAAAUAAGAUAAAAACAUAUGCAACUCAUCUGCAAUAUGGAUCAUUUUGAUUUUACAAUUCAAUCUCUUAAUUUAUUUAAUUUGAAUUAGUCGACGAUACCUUGACUUUAAAAUUUAAACGAGUUGUUUAUCUUUACAGAUUUAAUUAAUAUACUUCAUGAAAUUCUCGCAAUUAUAGAUUCACUAAAUUUUGAAGUCAAACUACCGUAUACUGACUCAAAUUUAAUAAAUUGAAAGAUUAAGUAGCAAACUCAAAAUUUCUAAAAAUUGGUUAGCCAAUUUAAAAUGGUUCAUAAUUUGAAUAAAGUUCUGUCGUUUU
This 334-nucleotide long non-coding RNA is filed under the name Ananas comosus (pineapple). Its description in RNAcentral is "long non-coding RNA (ACOM_LNC032360)". The record is from RNAcentral. Lineage: Eukaryota; Viridiplantae; Streptophyta; Magnoliopsida; Poales; Bromeliaceae.